This 1395-nucleotide ribosomal RNA is filed under the name Heterosigma akashiwo. RNAcentral's name for it is "partial Bacterial small subunit ribosomal RNA". It matches the Rfam family "Bacterial small subunit ribosomal RNA". Lineage: Eukaryota; Raphidophyceae; Chattonellales; Chattonellaceae. The record is from RNAcentral.
AAUUGAGAGUUUGAUCCUGGCUCAGGAUGAACGCUGGCGGUAUGCUUAACACAUGCAAGUCGAACGAGAGGUUUUUAAAGAUUUUUCUUAAAAAACUGAAAGUGGCGGACGGGUGAGUAACACGUGAGAAUCUGCCUUUAGGAAAGGGACAACAUUUGGAAACGAAUGCUAAUACCUUAUAUGCCUAUUAUAACUUGUAUAAUUAAUAGGUGAAAAGUUUUCUGCCUAGAGAGGAGCUCGCGGCUGAUUAGCUAGUUGGUGGGGUAAUGGCCUACCAAGGCGACGAUCAGUAACUGAUUUGAGAGGAUGAUCAGUCACACUGGAACUGAGACACGGUCCAGACUGCUACGGGAGGCAGCAGUGGGGAAUUUUCUGCAAUGGGCGAAAGCCUGACAGAGCAAUACCGCGUGAGGGAUGACAGUCCUAUGGAUUGUAAACCUCUUUUUUCAGGGAGGAAGUUCUGACGUUACCUGAAGAAUAAGCAUCGGCUAACUCCGUGCCAGCAGCCGCGGUAAUACGGAGGAUGCAAGUGUUAUCCGGAAUCACUGGGCGUAAAGCGUCUGUAGGUGGUUUAAUGUGUCUGUUGUUAAAUCUUAAGGCUCAACCUUAAACCAGCAAUGGAAACUAUUAUGACUUGAGUGUGGUAGAGGUAGAGGGAAUUUCCAGUGGAGCGGUGAAAUGCGUAGAUAUUGGAAAGACCACCAAUGGCGAAGGCACUCUACUGGGCCAUUACUGACACUGAGAGACGAAAGCUAGGGGAGCAAAUGGGAUUAGAUACCCCAGUAGUCCUAGCUGUAAACGAUGGAUACUAGAUGUCGCAUGUAUCGACCCAUGCGGUAUUAUAGCUAACGCGUUAAGUAUCCCGCCUGGGAAGUAUGCUCGCAAGAGUGAAACUCAAAGGAAUUGACGGGGGCCCGCACAAGCGGUGGAGCAUGUGGUUUAAUUCGAUGAUACGCGAGGAACCUUACCAGGGCUUAAAUGUAGAUUGCAUUAGCUAGAGAUAGCUAUUUCUUCGGACUAUCUACAAGGUGCUGCAUGGUUGUCGUCAGCUCGUGCCGUGAGGUGUCAGGUUAAGUCCUAUAACGAGCGCAACCCCUGUUGUUAGUUGCCAGCGAGUCAAGUCGGGAACUCUAACAAGACUGCCAGUGCAAACUGUGAGGAAGGUGGGGAUGACGUCAAAUCAUCACGGCCCUUACGUCCUGGGCUACACACGUGCUACAAUGGCAUCUACAGUGAGUUAAUCUCCAAAAGAUGUCUCAGUUCGGAUUGUCCUCUGCAACUCGAGGGCAUGAAGGCGGAAUCGCUAGUAAUCGCGGAUCAGCAUGCCGCGGUGAAUACGUUCCCAGGCCUUGUACACACCGCCCGUCACACCAUGGGAGUUGGAUUCACUCGAAG